Long non-coding RNA from Cryptomeria japonica (Japanese cedar), 1209 nucleotides. RefSeq lists it as uncharacterized. The record is from RefSeq and is a predicted model, not a curated record. Lineage: Eukaryota; Viridiplantae; Streptophyta; Pinopsida; Cupressales; Cupressaceae. The transcript has 2 exons.
GUAUCGUGAGUGUUCAACACCCCCAACUAAGAUCUUUUAGUACAACCUGGUUCUGCGUUUCUUUUACGCACACACGAUAUCCAAUCACAUUUGUUUGCUUUUAUGCUAUUCUUCCUUGCACAAACAACAUCCACUGAGAUUAUGCCAUUCGCUCAGAAAGCGGGUUCCUUCUGCUUUUCUUCUACAGAACAGAUCCCACCGACUUCUAUCUGUAUAUUUACUCCCUCUCCUCCGCUUCACAUCCCCACCACGACAGCCUGUUUUUUUCUUUAUUUCUUUGUAUUCUGUUAAAUCGAAUUCAAUGGCUUCUACGUCUACCACUGAUCGUCAAUCAAUGACUGAGUUCAGGGCUGGCUUAAACAGCACACACUAAGCUUUGACUUAGUGUGUGUUGUUCUAUGUGGGUCCGCCUCUCAGUUCCAUUUCCGUUUCAUCUGACCAUUUCCGUUGCCAGACAGUAAAACGUACCCGGCUGGCUCGUGUGGGCCCUCCCAACUCGUCAUGUUCACCGUUACUCCCAUUUCCCGUUAGCCCCGCCUUAAGUUGAGAUCUUUAAAACUGCUUCUCCCGCACAGCCAAUCUCCAUAUGCAUAUAAUUUCCAAUCGAGCAAUUCUCAUUUUCUCGUCUGCUCCCAGCCUAUGCGAAAUUCGAAGCUCUGAAACAGGAUAUACACAAAAUGCAUUCGUUGAAAAGGAUUUACAAACUUUCAACUAAAUGUGAUUUACAGGUGUAAAACAGAGUCUGCAACCCCUGCCAGCAUUCUCACAACCUAUGUGAAAAUGGGAGCUUUGGAACAGGGUAUGGACAUCCAUUACAGAGUGAAUGAUAGAGGAAUUUUAUAGAUUUUGCAGCUGUAACUGCUUUGGCAGACAUGUAUGCAAAAUGUGUAAGCAUAGACAAGGCACGUGAACUGAUUGACAGAACGAAUCCAAGAAAUUUGUUCUCAUGAAAUAAACAGAAUGUAGGAUAUGCAAAAUGUGGAAUCAUAGACGAGACAACUGAACUGUUUGACAGAAUGCCUCAAAGAGCAUAAUUUUCCCAAUGGAACGCUUUGAUUGCAAGAUAUUAAUAAAAUGGGUUUGUUGAAAAGGCUUUAGAACCUUGAACGGUAAAUCAUUUGUCGCUGCAUUUACUUAGAGCAGCAUGCACUUGUCACACCUUCCGUACCAUAUAUGAUAGGUAGGGGCGAUUUGUUCCUUUGGAUUUAA